RNAcentral lists this long non-coding RNA (417 nucleotides) under Homo sapiens (human). RNAcentral describes it as "non-protein coding IER3-AS1:11". Lineage: Eukaryota; Metazoa; Chordata; Mammalia; Primates; Hominidae. The record is from RNAcentral.
GGUGAGGGACUUGACCUCCGCCUGGCACCCUGGCAACAUACUAGGCGAUCUCGACAGUCGCUCCGUGACAGCCCACCAACCCCCAACCCUCUACCUCGCAGCCACCCUAAAGGCGACUUCAAGAAGAUGGAAGGAUCUCACGGAUCUCAUUCCUAAUGGUCCGCCGAAGUCUCACACAGUAGACAGACGGAGUUGAGAUGCUGGAGGAUGCAGUCACCUCCUAAACUUACGACCCACCACCAGACUUCAUCCCAGCCGGGACGUCCUCCCCCACCCGAGUCCUCCCCAUUUCUUCUCCUACUUUGCCGCAGUUCCAGGUGUCCUGCUUCCACCAGUCCCACAAAGCUCAAUAAAUACCAAGAGACCUGCAUUUACAGCAGGGGGAACAUCUCACACCCUUGCAUAAGUUAAAAUAAA